UACGGGGGGGGCAAGCGUUGUUCGGAAUUACUGGGCGUAAAGGGCGCGUAGGCGGCUCGUGAAGUCGGGUGUGAAAGCCCGGGGCUCAACCCCGGAACGGCAUCCGAUACUGGCGGGCUUGAGACCGGGAGAGGAGGGUGGAAUACCCAGUGUAGAGGUGAAAUUCGUAGAUAUUGGGUGGAACACCGGUGGCGAAAGCGGCUCUCUGGCCCGGAUCUGACGCUGAGGCGCGAAAGCGUGGGGAGCAAACAGG
This 253-nucleotide ribosomal RNA is filed under the name uncultured bacterium. RNAcentral's name for it is "partial 16S ribosomal RNA". It matches the Rfam family "Bacterial small subunit ribosomal RNA", at positions 524 to 776 of the family's 1533-position model. The record is from RNAcentral.